RNAcentral lists this ribosomal RNA (385 nucleotides) under uncultured bacterium. RNAcentral describes it as "bacterial SSU rRNA". It matches the Rfam family "Bacterial small subunit ribosomal RNA", at positions 28 to 417 of the family's 1533-position model. The record is from RNAcentral.
GACGAACGCUGGCGGCGUGCAUAACACAUGCAAGUCAAGGGGGUCAGUAGCAAUACUGGCAACCGGCGAACGGGUGCGUAACACGUAAGCGACCUACCUCAAUGUGGGGCAUAGCCGGCCUAACGGCCGGGUAAUUCCGCAUGUGAUCUUGGAGGGGCAUCUCUCCGGGAUGAAACCAGUAAUGGGCAUUGAGAGGGGCUUGCGGCCUAUCAGCUUGUUGGGAGGCAACGGCUCACCAAGGCUACGACGGGUAGCUGGUCUGAGAGGAUGGCCAGCCGCAUUGGGACUGAGAAACGGCCCAGACUCCUACGGGAGGCAGCAGUGGGGAAUCUUGCGCAAUGGACGAAAGUCUGACGCAGCCACGCCGCGUGAGUGAAGAAGGCCU